RNAcentral lists this ribosomal RNA (200 nucleotides) under uncultured bacterium. RNAcentral describes it as "partial 16S ribosomal RNA". The record is from RNAcentral.
GACGAACGCUGGCGGCGUGCUUAACACAUGCAAGUCGAGCGGUAAGGCCCUUUCGGGGUACGACGAGCGGCGAACGGGUAGGAGUAACAACGUGGGUGGACCUCGCCCUCCAGCUCUGGGAGUAAGACCCGGGAAACCGUAGGGUCGUAAUAACCGGACGUAUGACUCCAUGACGCAUGUUGUGGGGUGGGAAAGACCUU